This 220-nucleotide ribosomal RNA is filed under the name uncultured bacterium. RNAcentral's name for it is "partial 16S ribosomal RNA". It matches the Rfam family "Bacterial small subunit ribosomal RNA", at positions 550 to 769 of the family's 1533-position model. The record is from RNAcentral.
UUUAUUGGGCGUAAAGGGAGCGCAGGCGGUGACUUAAGUCUGAUGUGAAAGCCCACGGCUCAACCGUGGAAGGUCAUUGGAAACUGGGUCACUUGAAUAUAGAAGAGGAAAGUGGAAUUCCAUGUGUAGCGGUGAAAUGCGUAGAUAUAUGGAGGAACACCAGUGGCGAAGGCGACUUUCUGGUCUAUUAUUGACGCUGAGGCUCGAAAGCAUGGGUAGC